This 505-nucleotide ribosomal RNA is filed under the name Candidatus Daviesbacteria bacterium. Its description in RNAcentral is "bacterial SSU rRNA". It matches the Rfam family "Bacterial small subunit ribosomal RNA", at positions 1 to 548 of the family's 1533-position model. The record is from RNAcentral. Lineage: Bacteria; Candidatus Daviesiibacteriota.
UUUUUUGAGAGUUUGAUCCUGGCUCAGGAUGAACGCUGGCGGCGUGCCUUAAGCAUGCAAGUCGAAUGGGUCGAGCAAUCGACCAAUGGCGGACGGGUGAGUAACGCGUGGGUAUCUUCCUGGAAAUGGAGUAUAGCCCCGAGAAAUCGGGGGUAAUUCUCCAUAAUAUCGCAAGAUUAAAGAUGUAAAUCGUUUCCAGAUGAACCUGCGUCCUAUCAGCUUGUUGGUGGGGUAAUGGCCUACCAAGGCGACGACGGGUAGCUGGUCUGAGAGGAUGGUCAGCCACAACAGGACUGCGACACGGCCUGUACAUCUACGGAUGGCAGCAACUAGGAAUAUUGGACAAUGGACGAAAGUCUGAUCCAGCGACGCCGCGUGGAGGAUGAAGGCCCUCGGGUUGUAAACUCCUUUUACGGGGGAUAAUUAUGAUAGUACCCCGCGAAUAAGCACUUGCUAACUACGUGCCAGAAGCCUCGGUAAUGCGUAGAGUGCAAACGUUAUCCGG